This 450-nucleotide ribosomal RNA is filed under the name uncultured bacterium. RNAcentral's name for it is "partial 16S ribosomal RNA". It matches the Rfam family "Bacterial small subunit ribosomal RNA", at positions 354 to 796 of the family's 1533-position model. The record is from RNAcentral.
GUGGGGAAUUUUGGACAAUGGGCGCAAGCCUGAUCCAGCAAUGCCGCGUGCAGGAAGAAGGCCUUCGGGUUGUAAACUGCUUUUGUACGGAACGAAACGGUCCUGGUUAAUACCCGGGGCUAAUGACGGUACCGUAAGAAUAAGCACCGGCUAACUACGUGCCAGCAGCCGCGGUAAUACGUAGGGUGCAAGCGUUAAUCGGAAUUACUGGGCGUAAAGCGUGCGCAGGCGGUUUUGUAAGACAGGCGUGAAAUCCCCGGGCUCAACCUGGGAAUUGCGCUUGUGACUGCAAGGCUGGAGUGCGGCAGAGGGGGAUGGAAUUCCGCGUGUAGCAGUGAAAUGCGUAGAUAUGCGGAGGAACACCGAUGGCGAAGGCAAUCCCCUGGGCCUGCACUGACGCUCAUGCACGAAAGCGUGGGGAGCAAACAGGAUUAGAUACCCUAGUAGUCC